GGCCGCCGGUAGAGAGAGAUCGAGCGGCGCUUGCUAUUUUGGGUUUGGGUUCCUCCGGAGCCACUCGCCCGGGUGGCACGGGAGGCAGGUGUUUCCUCACUCCUUAUCGAAAAAGGGAGGGAGGGAGAGUCAGGGAGAGACGACUAGUAGUAAUUAAGGAAGGUAAACAAGCAUGAAGAAAUGGCUAGUGCUGAGCAGCGGAAUCUACCAGUUUGGCUUUGUGCGCUGACCAAAUGCAUGAAUGAGUCUGUCAUUGCAGCACCUCAUUGGGCGCUCGUGGCUCGGUUUGGUUUUGAAUCCGUGAGAUGACACGCAGAUCUUGUUCAUUCACAAUUGAUCGAUCACAUAAUAUAUACAAUAUUUUGGAAGGAAGGAGAAAAGGAACGGACGGGUAUAUAUUUAGUGUGGAGCAAAAGAAAAAAGGCGAGCGAGAGAAAAUGCAUGUGCCUCUCCACUCCAGGCGAGGCGAACGUUGUCUCAGCAUAGUCAGUGUGGCGUGUGAUGCAGACACUUGGUCUUGGACAGGAUGGAUGAUCCGGCUGCAUGUAAUUAAUUAAGGUAACCGAUCCAUCUUUCUUUUGCGAUUUCUUGUUGACUCCGCGGCGAUUUCUUGGGUGCAGUUUGUUUUUGUGAGUUUC
Non-coding RNA from Lolium perenne, 638 nucleotides. Lineage: Eukaryota; Viridiplantae; Streptophyta; Magnoliopsida; Poales; Poaceae. The record is from RefSeq and is a predicted model, not a curated record.